CUUUGUAUUCUUCCACAGCUUUCUUGAACUGCAUCUAUUACAACCACCAUCCCCACGGCUGGUCCUGAGGCGGUUUCUUGUUUUUGCGGUUCAAUAAAGCUGUGGGAAGAUACAGAUA
This 118-nucleotide microRNA precursor is filed under the name Jatropha curcas. RNAcentral describes it as "MIR396 microRNA precursor family". It matches the Rfam family "MIR396 microRNA precursor family". Lineage: Eukaryota; Viridiplantae; Streptophyta; Magnoliopsida; Malpighiales; Euphorbiaceae. The record is from Rfam by way of RNAcentral.